This 1792-nucleotide long non-coding RNA is filed under the name Callithrix jacchus (white-tufted-ear marmoset). RNAcentral's name for it is "lncRNA (ENSCJAG00000077510.1)". The record is from RNAcentral. Lineage: Eukaryota; Metazoa; Chordata; Mammalia; Primates; Cebidae.
UUAUUUCAUUUAAUUCUCAUAACAACCCUGUAGGCAGGUAUUAUUACUGUUUCAAUUUUACAGUUUGGGAACUGAGGUUUUGGAGAGACUAAAUUGCUUACCACAGGAUGCAAGGCUAAGUGUGAGAGCUAUAAUGCAAAUUUAGAGCCCCAAUUCUAUAAUUCUGGCCACACCACUGAACAUCCUCAAGUAAAUCAAUAAGUAAAUAAAGUAAAAAUUCCUCUUUGGAAAGCAAGGAGUCAAUCUCACUACCUCAUGGUCACACCUGUUACACAUCUUAUGCUUAUAAUCAAAUGUAACCUUUGGUUCAUUUAAACAAUUGAAUGUAUAUUUUUGUAAUACACAGCCCCUCUCAGUACCUGCAACACCAGGAUAAGGAAAGUGUAUACACGGUUGGCGGAAGCAGAGUGGAUAAAAGAAGAGUGGCCGCAAAAAAGAUAACCGAGGCUGGUGAGCUGAUACCACAGGACUCAAGUGAGACCACAUUGCCUCUCUCUGCCUUUUAUUUUCAUUUUGGCCUCUGCAUUUAAUACUGGAAGAUUUUGUAGAGUACCUAAUGAUCCUAGACUGUUUGCUUCUAUUUCAGACUGAGACACUAAAAAGCUGAUUUGAUGGUUGGAUGGUCUGUGUAUGAGGUGAGGUAUGAUGACUCUUGGCCUUCCUGUAGGGUGAUUAUCUGGAAAAACAAUUUCUUAUCAAAUAUUCAAAGUCAGUAUCUUCAGUGUUUCCUCCUGUUAUAAUCAGAUUCUCCAGAGAUGCCUGCUCAGACUUGACAUGGUUUGGCUGUGUCCCCACCCAAAUCUCAUCUAAAUUGCAGCUCCCAUAAUUCCCACAUGUUGUGGGAGGAACCCAGUGGGAAAUAACUGAAUGAUGGGGGCAGUUUCCUCCAUACUGUUCUCAUGGUAAUGAAUGGGUCUAAUGAGACCUGAUGGUUUUACAAGGGGAACCCUCUUUCACUUCAUUUUCAUUCCCUCUCUUGCCCACUGCCAUGUAAGAAGUUCCUUUACUCCUCUUUUAUCUUCCAAAAUGAUUGUGAGGACUUCCAAGUCAUAUGAAACUGUGAGCCCAUUAAAACUUUUUAUUUAAAUAAAUUACCCAGUCUUAGGUAUGUGUUUAUCAACAGCAUGAGAAUGGACUAAUACAGGACACUUGCCUUAAAAACGUAAGGCUUGCUGCCAGUGUUAUAUGUUAACUUUCACUAAACCUUUUGUUUUCAGUGUGGGAAAACUUCUCCCAUCUGAUUCUGAUGUCUCUCAGUUCCAAUAUCCCACCUUGUCCCACAUCUACAUAUAAUCUAUUAGUAGGGUGGAGGAAAGGACAUUUGCUUGGCUACUUGGGAUUAGAGAGGUACCUGGGGGCCCAGCUGCUUCCUAAAUUGAAGUUGAACCAACUUUACUAUUCAGUCCCAUAUUUAUCCCUUCUUGAGGUACCUGGUGCUGCAAAGUGUUGAGUCUUUGUGGGGAUUCUGCAGUGUAAAGUAGGUUGCUUCUUGUUUUUCCUCACUACUGGCUUAAAAUUUAACUUUUUUAGGUCUUCCAAAUCAGUUAACACCACCCCACCUGCUUUCCAAAGUUGUGUUGCAUUAUCUCCUCUCUCACUCCCUAUCUUUGGAAUUUCAUGUCCAUAACCUCCAGUGAUCCCUCCCUCCUGGUGUUCACACCUUUUGAAAUGCCCUCCCCUCAACUGUGGACAGGACCUAUAACUUGCUUCUAACCUGUGAAAUACGGCAAAAGUUAUGAGUUGUCACUCCUAAUUAUCUUACAUUAUACAAGACUCUGUCUUAAAAGCAGAC